This 207-nucleotide ribosomal RNA is filed under the name uncultured bacterium. RNAcentral describes it as "partial 16S ribosomal RNA". It matches the Rfam family "Bacterial small subunit ribosomal RNA", at positions 568 to 774 of the family's 1533-position model. The record is from RNAcentral.
CAUCUAGGCGGUCAAUCAAGUCGAAGGUGAAAGCUUGUGGCUCAACCAUAAGCUUGCCUACGAAACUGAUUAACUAGAGUACUGGAGAGGUGGACGGAACUACACGAGUAGAGGUGAAAUUCGUAGAUAUGUGUAGGAAUGCCGAUGAUGAAGAUAGUUCACUGGACAGAAACUGACGCUGAAGUGCGAAAGCUAGGGGAGCAAACA